ACGCUCGACACCUACGGAAGGCAGCAGUGGGGAAUAUUGCACAAUGGGGGAAACCCUGAUGCAGCGACGCCGCGUGAAGGAAGAAGUAUCUCGGUAUGUAAACUUCUAUCAGCAGGGAAGAAAAUGACGGUACCUGACUAAGAAGCCCCGGCUAACUACGUACCAGCAGCCGCGGUAAUCUGAGCGGGCGUGGCAAGGGGC
RNAcentral lists this ribosomal RNA (201 nucleotides) under uncultured bacterium. Its description in RNAcentral is "partial 16S ribosomal RNA". It matches the Rfam family "Bacterial small subunit ribosomal RNA", at positions 326 to 538 of the family's 1533-position model. The record is from RNAcentral.